GGAGUCUGGGCCGUAUCUCAGUCCCAAUGUGGCCGUUCAACCUCUCAGUCCGGCUACUGAUCGUAGCCUUGGUGAGCCCUUACCUCACCAACUAGCUAAUCAGACGUGAGCCCAUCUUUCAGCGGAUUGCUCCUUUGGUAGCAGGGAGAUGCCUCCCCGCUACGUUAUGCGGUAUUAGCAGUCGUUUCCAACUGUUGUCCCCCUCUGAAAGGCAGGUUGCUCACGCAUUACUCACCCGUCCGCCACUAAGUCAAAUCCAAUCUUCGACGAAUCUCCGAUCGAAAGUGCUUCGUUCGACUUGCAUGUGUUAGGCACGCCGCCAGCGUUCAUC
Molecule: ribosomal RNA, 331 nt
Filed under: uncultured Oscillospiraceae bacterium
Lineage: Bacteria; Bacillati; Bacillota; Clostridia; Eubacteriales; Oscillospiraceae
Description: partial 16S ribosomal RNA
Source: RNAcentral